Molecule: long non-coding RNA, 1457 nt
Filed under: Homo sapiens (human)
Lineage: Eukaryota; Metazoa; Chordata; Mammalia; Primates; Hominidae
Description: non-protein coding lnc-MEGF6-2:1
Source: RNAcentral
CAUUUGAGUGAUCUCUCUCUUUUGAGCACACCAGUCUAUCCAUUCCCUUCCGCGACCCCACGCGGGCACCCGGCAGUGGCCACCAGCUUCUGUCUCAGCAGAGCGUCCACCUGCCCACUGGCUGAUUCUGCGAGGCAGCUCCGUUGGCUGUCUUUGGACGGCCACCUGCAUGGCCGUCACUGAACAGUGUUCUCAAGACCAAUCCUUGGAGAUGGUGAGACUCUACGACUGCUUUAGGGACUUUUGGGAUCUGAGUUUCCAUUGGAAAAGUCGGAAUGAACCAUGGUGGGUGGGGAGGAUGCUGAGGAGUGGCCACACGCAGGGACAGGGUUCUCCGGGGCCCCGCCCGCCUCCGUCCUUCGUGGCUGGUGCCCUCGCUCUGGCCACCGGCCCCCGGCUGCCCAGCCCGUCAGAGGUGGUUGAUGGGGUGAAAUGCUCCAGACUCCGACGUGGCUCCAGUGACCUUCAACCAAGCGUCCAGAGAACCCUGGGAGGGGGUGUGGAGAGGAGUGUCUUCGGAAAGGGACAGCAUCAUUGCAUAUGCCUGGCGGGGAGGGGAUGACACACACACAGGACAGGCAGGUGAGCGCGUGGGCAGGGCGGGCCAUCCCAGACAGGCAGCAGAUGGGCAGGGCAGGCCAUCCUGGACAGGCAGGUGAGUGUGUGGGCAGGACAGGCCAUCCCCGGCCAGCAGGGCCAAGCCUCGUCCGUUCCCAGCCUCCCGUGGCCCUGGCCUGGCUCAACCUUGCCCUGGGCCACAGGGGGCAGAAGGAACAAGAGGGACUAAGACCCGGAUUCUCCCCGCAGCCUGGAAGAGGAAGACAUGAGCAGGCGUGACGGCGGGAGGGACGAGGGCCGCCCCCUGCUCCGAGUGAUGCCAGGACAUUGGGGUGCUGGUGCAGGGCCUCCUGUGCACACCAGCUCCCUUGGCUGCUUUGGGGUGCUCCCCCUCGAAGCCUCCUCUCCUUCCCACCCCUUCCCCCUGUUUCCUCCACCUGGUGAUCAGCAGAAACUACAGACACGUGUCUGGUUUGGGACGGCCCUGGGAACUGGGGGUCAACAAGAGCCACCCCUGCCAGGGGAUGUCUGUUUUGGUGACCGUGGGGACACCAAAGAGCUGCCUCUGGGACAGGGAUGUGCAGCGUUUCUGGGCCAAUGGGAUUCUUAGGAAGUACAGAUGUGUUUCCAGGCGUUAGUUCAUGGGACAUCCUUCUGCCCCCAGCACAGGGCAGGUGGGGAUGGGACCUGGGGAGCAUCGUGUGUGGGUUAAGGGCAGGGAAGGUGGGGAAGCCCAGCACUGUCCUACCCGAGUUAACACUCCAGACAGAAUUAGUAAAAAGACAAAGACAGACACGCAGACGGCUUUUGCUGAGACCUGGGGCGGGCCUGUUCCCUCUGGGAGGGCUGUAGAGUGCUGAAUGAGACCCUGAGUCCCUACAGACUGGAGAGAAAUGCGG